AUGGACACGAGGGCCCCCACUCAGCUGCUGGGGCUCCUGCUGCUCUGGCUCCCAGGUGCCAGAUGUGCCGCUGUGCUGACCCAGACUGCAUCCCCCGUGUCUGCCGCUCUGGGAGGCACAGUCACCAUCAAUUGCCAGUCCAGUCAGAGUGUUUAUAGUAACAACUAUUUAUCCUGGUAUCAGCAGAAACCAGGUCAGCCUCCCAAGCUCCUGAUCUACAAGGCAUCCACUCUGGCAUCUGGGGUCCCAUCGCGGUUCAAAGGCAGUGGAUCUGGGACACAGUUCACUCUCACCAUCAGCAACGUGGAAUGUGCCGAUGCUGCCACUUACUACUGUGCAGGCGAUUAUGGUGGUAGUACUGAUACCACAGUGAUACAAGCCCUAACAAAAACCCCCCAGGAAAGCAGAAGUAAUUUGGGAGACCAGUGUGAGGAUGUAGAUCACGGAGCGUUUGGUGGUGUGGAAGGAGUUCUGAGGGUGUGUUUUCUGACUGCCAUCUCGGAGCACGAGGCCCCGCCCACUGGUCAAUCCCUCGUCACCGUUCUGUAG
Non-coding RNA from Lepus europaeus (European hare), 549 nucleotides. The record is from the annotation of a RefSeq genome assembly. Lineage: Eukaryota; Metazoa; Chordata; Mammalia; Lagomorpha; Leporidae.